GUAAGUAGGACAACGUCUUGUGUGGCUUUUAGAAAGACAAGAAACUAGAAAUAAAUCAUUGCAGGUAGUGAUGAAUGCCAUGAAGGAGGAAGCCAGGAGCUGGGGAGGGCAUCAUAGCAGAGCGUUGGCUGUAAGGCUCAGUGAAUGUCCUAAGUCCUCCUGGUCUCUUCCCCACCUGGUCUCUUCCCCACCCCACCCCUGGUACCCUGGUACCAGGCCCUGGUUCUGGCAGGACCUCCUACCUCCAAGUCAGGUUUCAUGGCACACCUUCCGUCCAGGGUGGCCCCCACUCCUCAGCUCCCAGCUCCCUCUCCUCGAGGCCUGCAUCCUGGCACCCUCUCAGUCCUGGCCCUCAUUGUCUUGUCCAGCCCCUGCCCCCUGCCUUUGCAUCAGGGCAUGGUCAUACCCAUGCCACGCUCCUGACGGGGUGUGCGACUCACUCGAGACUCGGGGCUUAUUGUUUCUCUCCUCUGAGCCUGACAUUGCUCACCUGGAGAUUGAGGACCGUACAAUAUGAGGCCUGGAAGGACUGAGUGACGUGAUGUAAGUAAAGCCCUCCCACGGUGCUGGCUCGAGAAAUGGCAUCUCUUCCCUCAGCAGAUACUAGAAUGAUCAGCAUAACCCUUUUGUUGGAAGAGUGUAGCUGUUUACAAAAUGCCUUUAUAAGUGUCUGGUACUCAUUGGUUUAGGGGGCAGAUGGGGGUCUCGGAGCACACUGGGUUGAGGCCCAGGCGAGGAGGCUGGGGCGGGGUCCUAGCCCUGCAUGCAGCCCCUGGGCACCUUGGGCAAGUCCCUUCCUUCUCCAGGACUCAAGUCUUCCUUCGCGAUGACAGAUGUCUGAGGGCCCUUCUGAAAUGGCCACUGGGAUGCUGGGGCCAUUCAUGCUGGGAGAGCCCCAGGAGCAGCCUCAACUGAGGAGGGAGGAGGUCCUCUGCAUGGUGCUACCACAGGAACCAGCUCAUCACACAGCUCUUCCGCAACCUGCUUCUGUGUCCUGGCUUUUGAGGACUUCUCUUCUGGAGAGCACUGUUGUUUUCUCAGUCUCAGCCCCAGCUCCUGUCCCCCUUAGGGCCUGGCACAAAAGCCCCCAGGCCUGGUGCCUCUCUUCACCAGGUUGGAAGCCCAGACCAAG
Molecule: long non-coding RNA, 1132 nt
Filed under: Equus caballus (horse)
Lineage: Eukaryota; Metazoa; Chordata; Mammalia; Perissodactyla; Equidae
Description: lncRNA (ENSECAG00000045554.1)
Source: RNAcentral